GUGCUCUUCUUGGCAGUACAUAUACUAAAAUUGGAACAAUACUGAACGAUUUGCAUAGGCCUUGCACAAAAAAAUGACAAGAAAAUUUGUGAAGCAUUCUUUAUUUAU
Molecule: small nuclear RNA, 108 nt
Organism: Peromyscus eremicus (cactus mouse)
Lineage: Eukaryota; Metazoa; Chordata; Mammalia; Rodentia; Cricetidae
Source: RefSeq, a predicted model, not a curated record